CAGCAGCCGCGGUAAGACAGGAGGCGCAAGCGUUGUCCGGAAUUACUGGGCGUAAAGCGUCCGUAGGCGGGUCAGAAAGUCUGCUGUUAAAGCUCACAGCUCAACUGUGAAUCGGCAGUGGAAACUUCUUGACUAGAGAGUGGUAGGGGUAGAGGGAAUUCCUAGUGUAGCGGUGAAAUGCGUACAUAUUAGGAAGAACACCAGUGGCGAAGGCGCUCUACUGGGCCAUUACUGACGCUGAUGGACCAAAGCUAGGGGAGCGAAAGGGAUUAGAUACCCCUGUAGUCCUAGCUGUAAACGAUGGACACUAGGUGUUGGCCGUAUCGACCCCGUCAGUAUCGAAGCAAACGCGUUAAGUGUCCCGCCUGGGGAGUACGCACGCAAGUGUGAAACUCAAAGGAAUUGACGGGGGCCCGCACAAGCGGUGGAGUAUGUGGUUUAAUUCGAUGCAACGCGAAGACCCUUACCAGGGAUUGACAUCCUACGAAUCUUCUUGAAAGGGAAGAGUGCCUUCGGGAGCGUAGAGACAGGUGGUGCAUGGCUGUCGUCAGCUCGUGUCGUGAGAUGUUGGGUUAAGUCCCGCAACGAGCGCAACCCUCGUCAUUAGUUGCCAUCAUUAAGUUGGGCACUUUAAGGAGACUGCCGGUGACAAACCGGGGGAAGGUGGGGAUGACGUCAAGUCAUCAUGCCCCUUACAUCGUGGGCUACACACGUACUACAAUGCAACGGACAAAGGGCAGCCAACUAGCGAUAGUGCGCUAAUCCCAUAAACCGUUGCUCAGUUCAGAUUGCAGGCUGCAACUCGCCUGCAUGAAGGCAGAAUCGCUAGUAAUCGCAGGUCAGCAUACUGCGGUGAAUACGUUCCCGGGCCUUGUACACACCGCCCGUCACACCAUGGAAGUUGGCCACGCCCGAAGUCGUUACCCCAACCUUAGGGAGGGGGACGCCGAAGGC
RNAcentral lists this ribosomal RNA (954 nucleotides) under uncultured cyanobacterium QSSC9L-3. RNAcentral's name for it is "bacterial SSU rRNA". It matches the Rfam family "Bacterial small subunit ribosomal RNA", at positions 509 to 1463 of the family's 1533-position model. Lineage: Bacteria; Bacillati; Cyanobacteriota. The record is from RNAcentral.